UACGUAGGGGGCAAGCGUUGUCCGGAAUUAUUGGGCGUAAAGAGCGCGUAGGCGGUCCGGUAAGUCGGCUGUGAAAGUCAAGGGCUCAACCCUUGAAAGCCGGCCGAUACUGUCGGACUAGAGUCCGGAAGGGGCGAGUGGAAUUCCCGGUGUAGCGGUGAAAUGCGCAGAUAUCGGGAGGAGCACCAAUGGCGAAGGCAGCUCGCUGGGACGGUACUGACGCUGAGGCGCGAAAGCGUGGGGAGCAAACAGG
Molecule: ribosomal RNA, 253 nt
Filed under: uncultured bacterium
Lineage: Bacteria
Description: partial 16S ribosomal RNA
Rfam family: Bacterial small subunit ribosomal RNA
Source: RNAcentral